Molecule: ribosomal RNA, 1400 nt
Filed under: Enterococcus durans
Lineage: Bacteria; Bacillati; Bacillota; Bacilli; Lactobacillales; Enterococcaceae
Description: bacterial SSU rRNA
Rfam family: Bacterial small subunit ribosomal RNA
Source: RNAcentral
GUCGUACGCUUCUUUUUCCCCGGAGCUUGCUCCACCGGAAAAAGAAGAGUGGCGAACGGGUGAGUAACACGUGGGUAACCUGCCCAUCAGAAGGGGAUAACACUUGGAAACAGGUGCUAAUACCGUAUAACAAUCGAAACCGCAUGGUUUUGAUUUGAAAGGCGCUUUCGGGUGUCGCUGAUGGAUGGACCCGCGGUGCAUUAGCUAGUUGGUGAGGUAACGGCUCACCAAGGCCACGAUGCAUAGCCGACCUGAGAGGGUGAUCGGCCACAUUGGGACUGAGACACGGCCCAAACUCCUACGGGAGGCAGCAGUAGGGAAUCUUCGGCAAUGGACGAAAGUCUGACCGAGCAACGCCGCGUGAGUGAAGAAGGUUUUCGGAUCGUAAAACUCUGUUGUUAGAGAAGAACAAGGAUGAGAGUAACUGUUCAUCCCUUGACGGUAUCUAACCAGAAAGCCACGGCUAACUACGUGCCAGCAGCCGCGGUAAUACGUAGGUGGCAAGCGUUGUCCGGAUUUAUUGGGCGUAAAGCGAGCGCAGGCGGUUUCUUAAGUCUGAUGUGAAAGCCCCCGGCUCAACCGGGGAGGGUCAUUGGAAACUGGGAGACUUGAGUGCAGAAGAGGAGAGUGGAAUUCCAUGUGUAGCGGUGAAAUGCGUAGAUAUAUGGAGGAACACCAGUGGCGAAGGCGGCUCUCUGGUCUGUAACUGACGCUGAGGCUCGAAAGCGUGGGGAGCAAACAGGAUUAGAUACCCUGGUAGUCCACGCCGUAAACGAUGAGUGCUAAGUGUUGGAGGGUUUCCGCCCUUCAGUGCUGCAGCUAACGCAUUAAGCACUCCGCCUGGGGAGUACGACCGCAAGGUUGAAACUCAAAGGAAUUGACGGGGGCCCGCACAAGCGGUGGAGCAUGUGGUUUAAUUCGAAGCAACGCGAAGAACCUUACCAGGUCUUGACAUCCUUUGACCACUCUAGAGAUAGAGCUUCCCCUUCGGGGGCAAAGUGACAGGUGGUGCAUGGUUGUCGUCAGCUCGUGUCGUGAGAUGUUGGGUUAAGUCCCGCAACGAGCGCAACCCUUAUUGUUAGUUGCCAUCAUUUAGUUGGGCACUCUAGCAAGACUGCCGGUGACAAACCGGAGGAAGGUGGGGAUGACGUCAAAUCAUCAUGCCCCUUAUGACCUGGGCUACACACGUGCUACAAUGGGAAGUACAACGAGUCGCGAAGUCGCGAGGCUAAGCUAAUCUCUUAAAGCUUCUCUCAGUUCGGAUUGUAGGCUGCAACUCGCCUACAUGAAGCCGGAAUCGCUAGUAAUCGCGGAUCAGCACGCCGCGGUGAAUACGUUCCCGGGCCUUGUACACACCGCCCGUCACACCACGAGAGUUUUAACACCCGAAGUCGGUGAGG